Molecule: long non-coding RNA, 488 nt
Organism: Perognathus longimembris pacificus (Pacific pocket mouse)
Lineage: Eukaryota; Metazoa; Chordata; Mammalia; Rodentia; Heteromyidae
Exons: 3
Source: RefSeq, a predicted model, not a curated record
ACUGCAGCUCAUGUUCAUGUCUUUAAAGCCCCAAUGAGAGUAAUUUUCUUCGCUCAUUUAGGAUGGCACCAAACCUCCACUGAGUAAAAAUGUAAAUUUGCAAGUAGUUGCUGGUGAUCCUCGCUGUGAUUGCUAUUCGGGUGCAGACCUCUCUGCACUGGUACGAGAAGCUUCUCUCUGUGCCUUGAGGCAGGAAAUGGCAAGACAGAAGACUGGAAAUGAAAAAGGUGAGCUCAAGAUUAGCCAUAUGCACUUUGAAGAAGCUUUCCAGAAAGUGAAACCAUCUAUCUCAGUAAAGGUAAGAAUUUUCCUUCAGUGUGUAGAAAAAGGUUAGAAGUGAUAUCAAUGGACUAGGAAUCAUAAAUCCUAACUCAUUUGUCAUUUGUCCCAACUCUCCAUGAAAAAAAAAGCUGUUAUUUUGUAUUUUGGAAAUUAGCCAAAAAGUAUUGAACGUUUUCCAGAGAUUUAAAUUUAAACUAGAGUACAGU